Molecule: ribosomal RNA, 288 nt
Filed under: uncultured soil bacterium
Lineage: Bacteria
Description: partial 16S ribosomal RNA
Rfam family: Bacterial small subunit ribosomal RNA
Source: RNAcentral
AGAUUGAACGCUGGCGGCAGGCCUAACACAUGCAAGUCGAGCGGCAGCACGGGUACUUGUACCUGGUGGCGAGCGGCGGACGGGUGAGUAAUGCCUAGGAAUCUGCCUGGUAGUGGGGGAUAACGCUCGGAAACGGACGCUAAUACCGCAUACGUCCUACGGGAGAAAGCGAGGGGACCUUCGGGCCUUGCGCUAUCAGAUGAGCCUAGGUCGGAUUAGCUAGUUGGUGGGGCAAGUGGCUCACCGAAGGCGGCGAUCCGUAACUGGUCUGAGAGGAUGAUCAGUCAC